Ctenopharyngodon idella (grass carp) is the source of this 2564-nucleotide long non-coding RNA. RefSeq lists it as uncharacterized. NCBI's taxonomy places the organism in Eukaryota, Metazoa, Chordata, Actinopteri, Cypriniformes, Xenocyprididae. The transcript has 2 exons. The record is from RefSeq and is a predicted model, not a curated record.
UGGAACGACAUUAGGGUGAGUAAUUAAUGACAUUAUUUACAUUUUUGGGUGAACUAACCCUUUAAGUAAAGCUGACAAAAUUUCUUUGAGUAAAUACAAAUCAUUUGAAUGUCACUGUCACAUAAUAUUUAUAAAUGCAGUUUACUUAAUAAUGUUAUGUUUAUUACGUAAGGUGAACACAUUUAUUGACUUAAUUUACUUUAUUAAAUGAACUAUUUUCUCUACAAAAUGCACUCAAAAAAUAACUCAUUGAACAAACUCAACUGAAUUGAGAGCAGAAAUUUCAUCCUAAACAUCUGUAUAUGAGUGUGCACAGCCUAAACACAGGCGACACUCUUCUGCAUAAUGGUAACCAUUAUAAAAUUAAAAUGUCCAACAUAACUGAACAUUAAACACUAACAUAAACUAACAACAUAUUUCCCUUUACUGAAAAACACAUAAAAUAACACUUUAAUCCCUAAAUUUACUCUCCUGAUGCAAAGCAUGCUGGGAACUACGGAUCCACUGCCCAGUUAGUUAUGUCAACAUUAAUUUGUGCGUUUCACUCAGCAAUGUUAAGUUGACUGAACAAACACUUACUAAGUAAAGCUGACAAUACUAAUUUUUAGUAGAAACAAUGCAGUUAAAUUACGUUCAUGUAGAUACAUGAGUUUUUUAAGUAAUGUGAACAAGGGUGGUUUGAGUGAAACUAACAACAGUGAAAGUUCAUUUUUUUGAGUGUGUGAUGCAACGUGUUGUUCACGUUUUAGGUCAUUGUUUUAUUAUGAGUGUUUUCUGGGUGAAAUCUUUGCUAGUGUUAGUUGAUUUGAGACGUUUUUUGAUAGUUUUAGUGCAUUUUGAAUGUGAAAUUAACUGAUGUGCCAAGAUGAAAGUUGGUUAGGAGAACUGUGUGAAGCGUUUUGAAAAAGUAAAUUAAGUACUGACAAAUGUGUCCUAGCGAUUGUAAAGAAAAACUGUUAUAAUAAUAAUCACAGAAAAUACACAAGAAAGAAACUCAUCGCUUUAGAUAACGACGAGAAACGACAAAAGGAAUGAACAAAACAGGAUGUAUACUUAUACACCGAGAACUUAACUAGAUACAUGUGGGAUUCACUAGUGAUUGGUGACAAACAAGGAAACAUAGGAACAUAAACACAAACACGAUGAUAAAUAAAUAUAUCAAAUGACAGAAUAAAAAGCUGGAAUUGAAUAAACUUGAACAAAAAGUAUAUGUGACCUAAUGAAAGUAAAAGGAAUGUAUUGGAAUAAAUGCAAGUUUUUUUAUGCUAAAACUGCCUAUUUGAAUGUGAUUCAUUUGUUGUCCAUUUCCUCUUUUUAGUUUCUCCUGACCACACCCUCCGUCCCUCUGUUCUUCCUUUCUCUUCUCCUGCCUAAACAUUUGUAUUUGACAAUAAUGUUGUUACAUACAAAACCUGACACUUUGAGCUUUGUGUUUUGAGGUUUGUUUACUGAGAACUGAGGUUCAGUUUGAGAGUCAUGUGACCAACCCCUUCUGGAAAACACAAACGUGGAUUCAAUUUCAUCCUAACAAAACAAGUUCCCGCCUUCUUCCCUUUUUCUUGUGAUGAGAAGAUCAAGGGAGAGGCAGAAAUGUCAGCGGUCAGAGACAUGUAUGAAGGACUGGAUGUUAGAAACAUGACUGAAUCGGAACAAAGGAGACACAGAAACAUCCAGCUGAACCAACAUCCAGAUGUUCUCUUCAGAAUUUAUAGACGAGGCCGUCUGCAUGUUCUGCUCUUCAGACCCACCGAUGGCCUCCAGUGGAUGAGAUUAUUCAGAGACGGAGAUGAACGCCUCUUCGCUCAGUGGACUAUCAGACAUCGGCAGAUUCGGGAUGUGAUCAGUGUCUCUGGACAGCUGGAGGAAUUGGAACAAUUCUGUGACAGAUUUAUGCAACAUCUGCAGGGGUUUCAAGACAAUGAUGAUGAGAUUGAAGAGCUGAGAGCAAGAAUACAAGAACUCGAAUUAGAAAACAGAAGACUUAGAGAACAAUGACCGCUGCCAAAGAUAUGAGAGAGCAUGUUAACAGGCCAAGAUGAAUCCUGGACCAGUCCUGCAUCAUUUCAGCGUUUUCAAUAACAACCCGUGUGUUCUACUGUAAGAAAGCAAACAUACAUUGUUGUUUUAUUUCUUUGUUUUUAUGUUUAAUUUCAUAAUCAUUAGUCAUUUAUAAGUUGUCAUUUUAUUUAUCAUUUAUUCAUAUUAUUAUUAUAUGAUUUACAUCAUUUAUUCAUUUUAUCAUUUUGUUGUUAUUAUUAUUAUUAUUCAUGUCAUUUUAUGUUUUUAUAUUUUAUUUGACUUAUUUCCCUGCUCUUGCAGUGCUUGCUAUAGUUGUUUAAUCUUCUGAUUGUGUGGUUUGAAGGGAUGUUUGUCUUCACGAGAGAAUGUCUGCAUUUCAAGGUUUUUAACGUCAUAGGACGAUGUUGUGAAACAGUAUUUUCCACUGCUUUUCCCUUGGUAUAACAACACUUGUUGGAAUUGUACUGGUCAGAUGAAGUCAGCGCAUUGAGAAGUGUAAUAUGCAACUAAGAUUAAUCAAUAAACUCUGCACGUUUUUAUCAUUA